UUCAGGACCAGUUUAUUACUAGCCCCCAUAGAGAUGUUCAGGACCAGUUUAUUACUAGCCCCCAUAGAGAUGUUCAGGACCAGUUUAUUACUAGCCAUCAUAGAGAUGUUAAGGACCAGUGUAUUAGUAGCCACCAUAGAGAUGUUCAGGACCAGUGUAUUAGUAGCCACCAUAGAUAUGUUCAGGACCAGUUUAUUACUAGCCAUCAUAGAGAUGUUCAGGACCAGUUUAUUAGUAGCCACCAUAGAGAUGUUCAGGACCAGUGUAUUAUUAGCCACCAUAGAGAUGUUCAGGACCAGUUUAUUAGUAGCCAACAUAGAGGUUCAGGACCAGUGUAUUAGUAGCCACCAUAGAGAUGUUCAGGACCAGUUUUUUACUAGACACCAUAGAGAUGUUCAGGACCAGUUUAUUACUAGCCAUCAUAGAGAUGUUCAGGACCAGUUUAUUACUAGCCCUCAUAGAGCUGUUCAGGACCAGUUUAUUACUAGCCACCAUAGAGAUGUUCAGGACCAGUUUAUUACUUGCCAACAUAGAGGUUCAGGACCAGUUUAUUACUAGACCCCAUAGAGAUGUUCAGGACCAGUUUAUUACUAGCCACCAUAGAGAUGUUCAGGACCAGUUUAUUACUAGCCCCCAUAGAGAUGUUCAGGACCAGUUUAUUAUUAGCCAAUAUAGAGAUGUUCAGGAGCAGUUUAUUACUAGCCAACAUAGAGGUUCAGGACCAGUUUAUUUCUAGCCCCAAUAGAGAUGUUCAGGACCAGUUUAUUACUAGCCCCCAUAGAGAUGUUCAGGACCAGUUUAUUACUAGCCAUCAUAGAGAUGUUAAGGACCAGUGUAUUAGUAGCCACCAUAGAGAUGUUUAGGACCAGUGUAUUAGUAGCCACCAUAGAGAUGUUCAGGACCAGUUUAUUACUAGCCCCCAUAGAGAUGUUCAGGACCAGUGUAUUAGUAGCCACCAUAGAGAUGUUCAGGACCAGUUUAUUACUAGCCAUCAUAGAGAUGUUCAGGACCAGUUUAUUAGUAGCCAACAUAGAGGUUCAGGACCAGUGUAUUAGUAGCCACCAUAGAGAUGUUCAGGACCAGUUUAUUACUAGCCCCCAUAGAGAUGUUCAGGACCAGUUUAUUACUAGCCAACAUAGAGAUGUUCAGGAGCAGUUUAUUACUAGCCAACAUAGAGGUUCAGGACCAGUUUAUUACUAG
This 1200-nucleotide long non-coding RNA is filed under the name Salmo salar (Atlantic salmon). RNAcentral describes it as "lncRNA (ENSSSAG00000107364.1)". The record is from RNAcentral. Lineage: Eukaryota; Metazoa; Chordata; Actinopteri; Salmoniformes; Salmonidae.